GAGAGCUUAGCUCAGUUGGUAGAGCGAGAGACUCCAUAUCUUUCGGUCAUGUGUUCGAUCCACAUAGCUCUUC
This is a transfer RNA of Paramecium tetraurelia, 73 nucleotides long. It matches the Rfam family "tRNA". From Rfam's summary of the family: Transfer RNA (tRNA) molecules are approximately 80 nucleotides in length. Their secondary structure includes four short double-helical elements and three loops (D, anti-codon, and T loops). The record is from Rfam. NCBI's taxonomy places the organism in Eukaryota, Ciliophora, Oligohymenophorea, Peniculida, Parameciidae.